This is a long non-coding RNA of Loxodonta africana (African savanna elephant), 1357 nucleotides long. RefSeq lists it as uncharacterized. The record is from RefSeq and is a predicted model, not a curated record. NCBI's taxonomy places the organism in Eukaryota, Metazoa, Chordata, Mammalia, Proboscidea, Elephantidae. The transcript has 2 exons.
AAUAAGUAAAUGAGACCUCAUAAAAAUUAAAAAUUUUAUUCAUCAAAAGACUUUACCAAACAAGUCAUUAUGCUGAGUGAAACAAGUCAAUCAGAAAGGGCAAACACUGUAUGAGGCCACUAUUAUAAAACACAUGAAAAGGUUUCCGCACAAGAAGAAACAAUCUUUGAUGGUUACGAGGGAGGGGAUGGGGAGGAGGGAAAAACACUGACUAGACAAUAGAUAAGUGGUAGCUUUGAUGAAGGGUAAGAGAGUACACAAUACUGAGGAGGCCCGCACAAGUUGACCACGGCAAAGUCAUAGAAGCCUCACAGGCACAUCCAAAAAAAAAGUAAACUGACAAGAUACAAACUGGGAGACUAUCUUCUGAAACCAUGUGUCUGACAAGUACCUAACAACCAAUACAUAUAUAAAACUUCAACAACUUCACAACAAAAAGACAAAUAACCCAAUCAUAAAAUGGGAGAAGGACUUGAAUAGACAUUUCACCAAAGAGGACAUUCAAAUGGCCACCAAAAACAUGAAAAAACAUUCAGCAUCAUUAGCCAUCAAAGAGAUGCAAAUCAAAACCAGAAUGAGAUACCAUUUUACUCCCACUACAGCUAAGAAAGAAAACAACAAAUGUUGGUGAGGAUGUGAGGAAGUUGGAACCCUUAUCCAUUGCUGGCAGAAAUGCAAAAUGGUACAGCCAUUGUGGAAAACAGUGUGGCAGUUCCUCAAAAAACUAAAAAUAGAACUACCAUAUGACCCAGCAAUUCCACUCCUAGGUAUACACCCAAAAGACUUUAAAGCAGAGACUCAAAAAGAGACUUAUACUCCAAUGUUCACUGCAGCUCUAUUCACAAUAGCCCAAAGCGGGAAAUGACUUAAAUGUUCUUCAGCAGAUGAACGGAUAGACAAAAUGUGGUACCUAUACACAAUGGAAUACUACUCAGCCAGUAGGAGAAAUGAAGUCUUGACAAAUGCUACAAUAUGGGUGGAGCCGGAAGACAUUAUGCUGAGUGAAGCCCCACAGUGAGCAAGAGCCCCGGUGUCACAACCAUCAAGCACCUGGCUGCUAACUGAAAGGUUGGCUGUUCAAACCCACCAGCGGCUCUGCAGGAGAAAAGACCUGGUGAUCUGCUCCCUUAGAGAUUACAGCCUAGGGAGCUCUGGGGGACAGUUCUACUCUGCAAUACAUGGGGUCACCAUUAGGCAAGAAUGAUUCACCACUACCCACCCACAACCACCUCACUGAGCAGCCGUGGACGGAAAGAAGCCCCGCGUCCUGAAAGAGGAAGCUGUGACGGUCACCACUCAUUAGUUUCCAUGAGAACUUGUGCAACCCACAAAGGAGGCACUCAGUGUGCUUUCUGUG